CCUACGGGAGGCAGCAGUAGGGAAUCUUGCGCAAUGGGCGAAAGCCUGACGCAGCGACGCCGCGUGCGGGAUGACGGCCCUAGUGGUUGUAAACCGCUUUCAGCAGGGACGAAAAUGACGGUACCUGCAGAAGAAGUCCCGGCUAACUACGUGCCAGCAGCCGCGGUAAUACGUAGGGGACAAGCGUUGUCCGGAUUCAUUGGGCGUAAAGAGCUCGUAGGCGGUUCAGUAAGUUGGGUGUGAAAGCUCCGGGCUCAACCCGGAGAGGCCACUCAAUACUGCUGUGACUAGAGUCCAGUAGAGGAGCGUGGAACUCCUGGUGUAGCGGUGAAAUGCGCAGAUAUCAGGAAGAACACCGGCAGCGAAGGCGGCGCUCUGGGCUGGUACUGACGCUGAGGAGCGAAAGCAUGGGUAGCAAACAGGAUUAGAUACCCUGGUAGUCCAUGCCGUAAACGUUGGGCACUAGGUGUGGGGAGGAAUCAACCCUCUCCGUGCCGUAGCUAACGCAUUAAGUGCCCCGCCUGGGGAGUACGGCCGCAAGGCUAAAACUCAAAGGAAUGACGGAAUCGUCGACCGCAGGGAUAAGUUUUU
Molecule: ribosomal RNA, 591 nt
Filed under: uncultured Aciditerrimonas sp.
Lineage: Bacteria; Bacillati; Actinomycetota; Acidimicrobiia; Acidimicrobiales; Acidimicrobiaceae
Description: bacterial SSU rRNA
Rfam family: Bacterial small subunit ribosomal RNA
Source: RNAcentral